Lathyrus oleraceus (garden pea) is the source of this 1814-nucleotide long non-coding RNA. RefSeq lists it as uncharacterized. The record is from RefSeq and is a predicted model, not a curated record. NCBI's taxonomy places the organism in Eukaryota, Viridiplantae, Streptophyta, Magnoliopsida, Fabales, Fabaceae. The transcript has 2 exons.
AGAACAGUAGCAUGAUUAUCAAAAAGAAAUUUGGAUUAACAUAAAUUAACAAGGAUUAAGAUGGGAUUAGAGGUCAAAGUUCAUGAUUAUGAGUGAUAACAAAGAAAAAGGGGUGGACUAAGUAAAACGCACUUGGGCCAAAGAAUUUGUUUGGACAAAAAGCCCAAUUGCACAACACGUGAAUGUUUACCUUAUCUCCCUUUAGGGCUUCCAACCGAAGAAGCUUUCACGAACGUGAGCUUAUAUGAACGCCGCGUCGUACCGAAGCUGCUCGCCGUCGUACCGAAGCAACUUAUUUGUGAUGAAAUGUGUUACGUCCACGUCGUGGUGAAGAUUGAAAAUGGAAGUUCGAAUUGGACCAUUGUGUUGUCGAAGAAGAAGAGCUCGCGAUGAUGGCUGAGUCGAGAUGAAUAUGAUGAUAACGACGACGGAUUCGUUCCCUCCGGCAAAACACGAACAGGGGAGAACGUGUUUUACUACUUUUCGAUCUUUGUGCUUCCUCUUCUCUUUUCUGGUUUUUCUUCCUACUACCUCCUUCUGUAAAUUCCGUUGAGAAGUCCUUGAAAUGCCAUGAACUUCUGCUUGUUUUUGUUUGAUGCUUUCUUUUCUGCCAAUUUCUGUUGUCGUUUGCAAAGAGCUUUGUUGUCGGUUGUUAGUGGUUGAGGGGUUGGAAUGGAGAUUCCGGGUGGUUCUCCAUUGAAGGGUGGUUGUUGGUUGGUUUGGGGAUUGGGUGAAUUCGUGGUUCAAUGAGGGUGGAGAGGAAUCGCAGGGUGAAGAGGGUUUUGAAUGAGGGUUCUCCAUAUUGGUUAAAGGGUCGGAAGUGGUUGUUGAAGGAAGUGAGAAGAUUGGUUAAAGGUUUUGUUGGUUCUGUGAGGUGGGGAGAGAUAGGUUCGAUUGAGGUUCUAAGAUGCUUGGGGAAAAAAAUCUUUGCGGCUCCAAUUCGGUUCUGUUAUGGGGGUUGUGUGGGAUUCAGUUAUGGGAAUCGGUUAGAGUUGGUUCAGUUUGUUGUGGCAAUUUUAGUUGGUCAAGAAGUUUGUUAGGGAGGUUUUGAAUUUAGUUUGAAAAUUUUAACUGAUUCUGUUAUGCUGGUUUUUAUGCAGGUAUUUGUUUAAGGUUUUGAAAGUUUUGUUACGGAGUCGGUUGAAGAGUGAGGUUAUUAUGCAGGUUAAAGGGGGUGAGAAUUCAGUUGGAGUGUGGUUCCAUCUGGUUUUGUUUUGAAUUCUGCAGAGCUUUCUGACAGUUAGAGAAUUGGUUUACGGAAGUUAGGAAAAUUAUAUAAAGCUGUUAGGAAUUGGUUGAAGGGAGAUUACCGUUUUAAGUUGGAGUUUGAAUUCGGAAGUUAAUGGUUGAAGAAGUUAGAGGAGUUUUGGAUUGUUAUUCUAUGCUUUCUAAAAAAUGUUCUGUUAUGACUUGCAAUGUUAUAUCAUUUCUAGGAUGUGCUUUUGGAGCUAUGGUUCAUUGGAUUGGAGCUACGAAGCUUGAACCAUUUUGGAAUUAUUUUGAGCUGACUCGGGUUUGCUAUGGACUUAUUGGAUUUGUUCAGAUGUUUUGGAUAUGGCUUAGUGAUCUUGGACAUGGGAUAUGCUUGAUGGAAUGCUUUGUAAUUUGGUUUAAUUUUGGAAUAUGUUGAAUGUUGUAAUGUAAUGUAAUUGCUUGGAAAUCAUUUAUGGGAUAAUAUGGAAUGGGUUGAUGAAAUUUGAAUUGUAAUUGGAAUUGUUUUGUGAUUUUGGAAAGGUAAAUUGUAUAUAAUUUGUGUGAAAUGAUGGAAUUGAAAUUGGAAUUGUAGUGUAUAAAAGUUUCUAAUGGUUUUGGAA